Passer domesticus (house sparrow) is the source of this 523-nucleotide long non-coding RNA. RefSeq lists it as uncharacterized. NCBI's taxonomy places the organism in Eukaryota, Metazoa, Chordata, Aves, Passeriformes, Passeridae. The transcript has 4 exons. The record is from RefSeq and is a predicted model, not a curated record.
CUCCGCCCCAGCACAAGAUACAAGACAGAAGAGAGACAAUAAGCUUUUUCCUCCCACUUUACACUCCUCAACCAUAAUCCCAGAGAAUUCAUUUUCAGGCAAGCUGGAUAAUGCUGGUGGAAAGCAGGAUUUUGCAAAUGCAGGCUGCAGUCUCCCAGCAAAAGGGAAGCCAGCUGAAGAGCAGGAACUGCCUUUCUGGAAACAAGUUAGACUCUGCAACAAAUUGGCUCCUUACUGCUCGGGGCUGGCUGGGAUUGUAAAGAAGCUACAAGAGAAACACCAUGGAGUCAAAAUCUUAUCAGGAGUCAACCCUCUGACAUCCCACAUCCUCUGCAGGGCCAAUUUCACUGAAAAAAGGGAAAAUGAAAAGGAGCCAUUUCUUCACUACACCCUGGAAGGACUGAGGUACCUUAUACUAUAUGUUUAUUUUCCAUUUGCUGUAAAAGGGCAGCUUUUUGGAACAAUCUGGCAGAAUAGCACAAAUAGAUUCUUAAACACUGUAGGAUACAAGAAGCAGCCUAUG